AAGUCGUAACAAGGUUUCCGUAGGUGAACCUGCGGAAGGAUCAUUAAUGAAUAUAAAUCGUACUGUUCACGCAGUAUGUGGGGUGGUGACUUCGGUCCCGCUCAUUCAUAUCCAUAACACCUGUGCACUGUUGGAUGCUUGCAUCCACUUUUAAACUAAACAUUAUUGUAACAAAUGUAGUCUUAUUAUAACAUAAUAAAACUUUCAACAACGGAUCUCUUGGCUCUC
Molecule: unclassified non-coding RNA, 228 nt
Filed under: Filobasidium oeirense
Lineage: Eukaryota; Fungi; Basidiomycota; Tremellomycetes; Filobasidiales; Filobasidiaceae
Also listed under: 2 other names
Description: partial contains small subunit ribosomal RNA, internal transcribed spacer 1, and 5.8S ribosomal RNA
Rfam family: Eukaryotic small subunit ribosomal RNA (bases 1-46)
Source: RNAcentral